GCCGUCGUAGCGUAAUGGUAGCGCGUCGCUUUCCUAUGUUGGGAUCUCAGGCGAAGGUUGUGAGUUCGAUCCUCACCGUCGGUA
Non-coding RNA from Guyanagaster necrorhizus, 84 nucleotides. The record is from the annotation of a RefSeq genome assembly. NCBI's taxonomy places the organism in Eukaryota, Fungi, Basidiomycota, Agaricomycetes, Agaricales, Physalacriaceae.